GAGGCCACUGCUAUCGGAGUUCGAUUAAGCCAUGCGAGUCGAGAGGUGCAAGACCUCGGCAUACUGCUCAGUAACACGUGGACAAUCUAACCUAUGGAAGGGGAUAACCCCGGGAAACUGGGGAUAAUACCCUAUAGACUAUGGAUGCUGGAAUGCUUUGUAGUCGAAAGGUCAGCCGCCAUAGGAUGGGUCUGCGGCCGAUUAGGUUGUUGUUGGGGUAACGGCCCAACAAGCCUGUAAUCGGUACGGGUUGUGGGAGCAAGAGCCCGGAGAUGGAUUCUGAGACACGAAUCCAGGCCCUACGGGGCGCAGCAGGCGCGAAAACUUUGCAAUGCGGGAAACCGUGACAGGGGAACUCCGAGUGCCCGUAAAAUCGGGCUGUCCAUCAGUUUAAAUAACUGGUGAAGAAAGGGCCGGGCAAGACCGGUGCCAGCCGCCGCGGUAAUACCGGCGGCUCGAGUGGUGGCCACUAUUACUGGGCUUAAAGCGUUCGUAGCUGGUUUGUUAAGUCUCUGGGGAAAUCUUCCGGCUCAACCGGAAGGCGUCUCAGGGAUACUGGCAGACUAGGGACCGGGAGAGGUGAGGGGUACUCCAGGGGUAGGAGUGAAAUCCUGUAAUCCUUGGGGGACCACCUGUGGCGAAGGCGCCUCACCAGAACGGCUCCGACAGUGAGGGACGAAAGCUGGGGGAGCAAACCGGAUUAGAUACCCGGGUAGUCCCAGCUGUAAACGAUGCGCGUUAGGUGUAUCGGUGACCACGAGUUACCGAGGUGCCGAAGAGAAAUCGUGAAACGUGCCGCCUGGGAAGUACGGUCGCAAGGCUGAAACUUAAAGGAAUUGGCGGGGGAGCACCACAACAGGUGGAGCCUGCGGUUU
Molecule: ribosomal RNA, 875 nt
Filed under: uncultured Methanomicrobiales archaeon
Lineage: Archaea; Methanobacteriati; Methanobacteriota; Methanomicrobia; Methanomicrobiales
Description: bacterial SSU rRNA
Rfam family: Archaeal small subunit ribosomal RNA
Source: RNAcentral